GGCGCAGGCGCCGGGUCCCGCUGCGACGCCGGCGGCGGGCGCCACGGGGCCGCCGAACGUGACGGCGGUCCUGGAGAAGGGAGGGCAGUACACGACGUUCAUCCGGCUGAUGAAGGAGACGCAGCAGGACACGCAGCUGAACAGCCAGCUGAACAACUCCUUCAACGGCAACGGCUACACCGUGUUCGCGCCUACCGACAACGCCUUCAACAAC
RNAcentral lists this unclassified non-coding RNA (214 nucleotides) under Hevea brasiliensis (rubber tree). The record is from RNAcentral. Lineage: Eukaryota; Viridiplantae; Streptophyta; Magnoliopsida; Malpighiales; Euphorbiaceae.